RNAcentral lists this ribosomal RNA (418 nucleotides) under Amblyomma sp. ST66. Its description in RNAcentral is "partial 16S ribosomal RNA". The stretch from base 144 to 418 matches the Rfam family "Bacterial large subunit ribosomal RNA", at positions 2078 to 2602 of the family's 2925-position model. Lineage: Eukaryota; Metazoa; Arthropoda; Arachnida; Ixodida; Ixodidae. The record is from RNAcentral.
AUUGCUGUAGUAUUUUGACUAUACAAAGGUAUUGAAAUAAGACUUUAAUUGAGUGCUAAGAGAAUGGAUUAACAAAAAAAUUCUUUUUUAAUUUUAAAAAUUAAAGUUAUUUUUGUUAGUGAAGAAACUACAAUAAAAAUUAAGGACAAGAAGACCCUAAGAAUUUUUAAUAAUUUUGUUAUAAUAAAUAAUAAAAAUUAUUUUAAUUGGGGCGAUUAACAAAAAUAAAAAACUUUGUUUUUUUAAAAAAGAACCACUAUUAUUGGUCUUAUGAAAAAAAUACUCUAGGGAUAACAGCGUAAUAAUUUUUAAUAGUUCAUAUAGACAAAAUAGUUUGCGACCUCGAUGUUGGAUUAGGAUUCUUAACUAAUGAAGAAGUUAGUCAAAGAAGUUUGUUCAACUUUUAAAUUCCUACUUG